GGACCAGUGGCCAUGAUCUUCGUUUUUUUUGAUGUUGAGCUUCAGACCAUAUUUUGCGCUCUCCUCUUUCACCCUCAAUAAAAGGUUCUUUAAUUCUUCCUCACUUUCUGCCAUCAAGGUUGUGUCAUCUGCAUAUCUGAGGUUGUUGAUAUUUCUUCCAGCGAUCUUAAUUCCAGCUUGGGAUUCAUCCAGCCCAGCCUUUCGCAUGAUGAAUUCUGCAUAUAAGUUGAAUAGGCAGGGAGACAAUAUACAGCCUUGCUGUACUCCUUUCCCAAUUUUGAACCAAUCAGUUGUUCCAUAUCCAGUUCUAACUGUAGCUUCUUGUCCCACAUAGAGAUUUCUCAGGAGACAGAUGAGGUGAUCAGGCACUCCCAUUUCUUUAAGAACUUGCCAUAGUUUGCUGUGGUCAACACAAUCAAAGGCUUUUGUAUAGUCAAUGAAGUAGAUGUCUUUCUGGAACUCUCUAGCUUUCUCCAUAAUCCAGCGCAUGUUUGCAAUUUGGUCUCUGGUUCCUCUGCCUCUUCGAAAUCCAGCUUGCACUUCUGGGAGUUCUCGGUCCACAUACUGCUUAAGCCUGCCUUGUAGAAUUUUAAGCAUAACCUUGCUAGCGUGUGAAAUGAGUGCAAUUGUGCGGUAGUUGGAGCAUUCUUUGGCACUGCCCUUCUUUGGGAUCGGGAUGUAGACUGAUCUUCUCCAAUCCUCUGGCCACUGCUGAGUUUUCCAAAUUUGCUGGCAUAUUGAGUGCAGCACCUUAACAGCAUCAUCAUUUAAAAUUUUUAAUAGUUCAGCUGGAAUAUCAUCACUGAAUAUCAUCACAAUUUUUAAUAGUUCAGCUGGAAUAUCAUCACUUCCACUGGCCUUGUUAUUAGCAAUGCUUUCUAAGGCCCAUUUGACUUCAUUCUCCAGGAUGUCUGGCUCAAGGUCAGCAACCGCACUACCUGGGGUGUACGAGACAUCCAUAUCUUUCUGGUAUAAUUCCUCUGUGUAUUCUUGCCACCUCUUCUUGAUGUCUUCUGCUUCUGUUAGGUCCUUUCCACUAAGGUAAGGGGCUUCAACAAACUAUGGUAACUAAGGAAACUAAGGUAAGGGGCUUCAACAAAUACGGUGGGUCAGCACUGAAGUUUCAGAAUUAGGAUAAUAUAUUGAAAGUAGCUGUCGUUAUUUAUAUACCACCUGUACGUGAUAGUCUAUAUUGAAAUGGUUUGAAGUACACAGUGGCACAAUAUUCCUAACCCAAGAAAGCAGAAAUAUUGAAAGGUGUUUUUUUUCCCUGAUAGAAAGGAGCACUUUUGAUGCAAUGGCUUUAUGCAUAUCAUGAAAUUAUUGCCUGGGAGCUUUCCUUUCCUUUAUAAGAGGCAGAAAUAACUUUUUUGAUUGUGCCUUUGGGCACAGAUGCUUUAGAAUCCUAUUUGCCAAAUUGAUUCCUGAGCAAUUUGCUUUGGGUGAAGAAGUGUGUGUGUGUGUGUGUGUGUGUGUGUGUGUGUGUGUGUGUGUGUGUUAGAUUUCAUAUGAAGGAUCUGGCUGAAGUACACUGCUAGACAGGAUUGGGGGGAAAAACUAUUAUUCUUUUCUGAACCUACUGCCUUCUCUUACGAAAACAACUAAAUAUUAAAUCGCACAUAUCUAUGAUUUAUUCCCAAACUUCUUCAUUUGUCUUCUGCAAAGUAAACAUUAAUUGCUGUGUGAUGCUGUUCACCUUGUGAAUGUUUAAGGGAAACACUCCCACUCACAAACAAGCCACAAAGCCUGUUGCCUAUAAGAAUGAAAGAUUAAGAGCCAGUUCUGUUCUGCAAUAAAAUACUCUGUUGUCAAGACUGAGAUUUCCCUGUGGGGGGAAAUAGUCAGUGUUGCAAGGAAGCUCCUCUGAAGUGUUCAGUUAAAAAAAAAAAAGGUGCUAUUUUGUGAUGGUGUAAAAAGUUUUUCACCUGAGGACAAAAUUAUCUUGAAUCUCUAUUGUGUUAGCCAAUAAAGCCAUACAGCUGAGAAUAUCAAAGCUGAGGUUUGAUUCAUCUGCUUUUCUUGCCAGCUAGUGUAAUCACAGCCAACUGGGUUUGCAGCAGAACUUUUAAUUUGUUCCAGGACUGCCAUGUUUUUCAUCAAGCCAGGAGUAUGGUGAUGCUGGAGUCAACUGCAUGAUUGACCACCUUCAUCCAGGGGUGCCCUCCAGAUGUUGCUGGAUGUGGCUUUUGGGUAUUCGUUUGAAAAUAUCUGUAUAGGGGGAGAGAAAGAGUUAAUAGGUAGACCAAUAGAAAAGCCAGAGGCGGAGCCUACCUGUUUAUAAAAGGGCUUAGCCCGAGGUUUAGUUAGUUAGUUAGUUAGUUAGUUAGGUGGUUGGUUGGUUGGUUAGUUAGUUAAAGGCAGUUGGGAGACAGAUGGAAAUAGAGAGAAAGUUAGUGCAGUGGGUUCUUGUGUGAGGGGAGGUAGAAGAGUUAGAGACAGAAUAAAAUAAGACUAAGAGGGCAAAGGGUAACAGCAUUUCGAAUGCAUUUAAAGUUUAUCUGUGUUUGCAAUAAAAUACAACCUUCAUUGUUAACUUAAGAACCUGACUGAGACUAAGUGAUUUACCAGGGAGGACCUGGUUGGUGGCAGCGGAUAGUGGUGUACGGGUCAAUAGUCCUUGAGACGACUGGGGGCUCCGUACGAAUGCCACACUGGACUAUUCCUGCUUGACCAUUAGUCAUUCUGGCUGGGGCUAAUGACCACCCUGAUAUAUCCAUUCUGCAAGGAUGCCAUCAGAUAUGAAGUCAACCGUCACAAUGUGUUAGGGAAAAUAAUAUUCCGAAUCAGAACCUAUCUGAUCGCCAUAUUAAAUGUAUGGGUAUUAAUAGUUCAGGGUGUGUAGGGUGUUGGGGAGGGGUAGUACCUCUAGCAGGGGACACAUUGCGCUUCUUCUGCAGUCGUUUGUCCACUUAGGAGAGCCAGUGUGGUGUAGUGGUUAAGAGCGGUAGUCUCGUAAUCUGGUGAACCGGGUUCGCUUCUCCGCUCCUCCACAUGCAGCUGCUGGGUGACCUUGGGCUAGUCAGUCACACUUCUCUGAAGUCUCUCAGCCUCACUCACCUCACAGAGUGUUUGUUGUGGGGGAGUGAAGGGAAAGGAGAAUGUUAGCCACUUUGAGACUCCUUCGGGUAGUGAUAAAGCGGGAUAUCAAAUCCAAACUACUACUACUACUACUACUACUACUACUACUCUUCUUCUUCUUCUUCUUCUUCUUCUUCUUCUUCUUCUUCUUCUUCUUCUUCUUCACUUUGGGCCUCCACCUUUCACUUAGCCCUCACCUGUUGGCUCCUAGAAGCUGUCAGCAUGCAACAGUGGCCACACUCCGGGAACAGCUUCAACUGGCUGGCUAAACCAGGUGAGGGUAGCCACUGGGUCUCAAACCUUCGGUGAGUUAGGGAUUUCCCCUGCAGGCUCUGGCAGAUGGAGCGGACGUGACCAACAGUGGGUCCAGUGGUCAAGAAGGUAGUUUUGCUGUAGAGGGAAGUGAGGGGUAGAUGGGACUUGUAAACCUAGAAAGGUAGCCCACCCAGGAGAAGGAAAAACUCUGAUCCUAGACCUCCAUUGCCUUGUGGGGAAGAAAGGGCUAAGGAGUAAACCCCACAUUUUAGUACCUAAAAUGGUUGGAUGGCGCCUUGUUUGCCUCCUUCCAGCAACUCCUACAAACACCAAACAUAUUGCUCUGCUUUCCUUUGGACCACAUCAGUGAGGCUGAAGGCAGGGAGGGUCUUGUUGUCUGGGCAGCCCAGGACCUCCAUACACACUGCCCAGGCUUGCAUCAUGGAGAGCUAGCCCUCCCAGUUUGAGGGAUAUUGGUAAGCAUCCCCUCGAUUCCUUCAUCCAAGUCAUUUAUAAAGACGUUGAACCACAAUGGGCCCAGGACAAACUUACACAUAUGACAACUUUUUUCAAGGUCUUUAAGAAUU
This 3920-nucleotide long non-coding RNA is filed under the name Podarcis lilfordi (Lilford's wall lizard). The record is from RNAcentral. Lineage: Eukaryota; Metazoa; Chordata; Lepidosauria; Squamata; Lacertidae.